GCGAUCUCCAAUGGAGAGGCAACACGAAUUGUAAGAGGAACUCCAUGGCCUGAAGCGCUGACCCAUUCCUCCCUAGAGCAGAGACCUUCUUCCCCUUCCUGUGCACCAGCUCUUUUCAGAUUAGCCAAUCGAAUAAGACUGUGAGGUCAGACCCCAGCCAAUGGGGGAAAAGACACAGCCACUGAGCUAGAAUAAAAACCCAGGGCACUUCCUGUCAUCGUGCACGGCUCUUCCCUCAAGCACACCAACCCCUUGAUCGAGAGUAAAGUUUGUCUUAUCUG
This 281-nucleotide long non-coding RNA is filed under the name Rattus norvegicus (Norway rat). Its description in RNAcentral is "long non-coding RNA NONRATT014758". The record is from RNAcentral. Lineage: Eukaryota; Metazoa; Chordata; Mammalia; Rodentia; Muridae.